RNAcentral lists this ribosomal RNA (253 nucleotides) under uncultured bacterium. RNAcentral describes it as "partial 16S ribosomal RNA". It matches the Rfam family "Bacterial small subunit ribosomal RNA", at positions 524 to 776 of the family's 1533-position model. The record is from RNAcentral.
CACGGGGGGAGCAAGCGUUGUUCGGAAUCACUGGGCGUAAAGGGCGUGUAGGCGGUUCGAUAAGUGGGAUGUGAAAUCCUCCGGCUCACCCGGAGACCUGCAUCUCAAACUGUUGGACUAGAGUAUGGGAGAGGAUGAGGGAAUUCCUGGUGUAGCGGUGAAAUGCGUAGAUAUCAGGAGGAACACCGGUGGCGAAAGCGCUCAUCUGGCCCAAUACUGACGCUGAGGCGCGAAAGCUAGGGGAGCAAACGGG